GUAACUAGAUAUGCACUAGCACAUUCUGCAUGGACACUGGUUUUUGUCAUGUUUCCCUUGCAUUUUACAGAGCAUGCAGCAGCUGGAUCACCACUUUAAAGAGGGCAGAGAGAUGCAUGUACUAUCCACAACUGCCAAUGGCUCCUCUAGCCCAAGCAGCCUUGCUGCUCCCUGCCUUCCAGUGUCUACAAACGCUUCCACACUCUUCACUUAACCACCAUAAAAAAACCCUCUAGCCACAAAUGGGGAGAGAGAAAUGUGCUGCAGCUACACAGCCAAGAGGAGCUGUGCCAUUUCCUGAUAGUGUGAAGCACUCACUCCUCUUCCUUCUGUGGAUGUACAGCACUAACAGAGACUGAGCCUAGUGAUUGCAAUGGCUUUCCUGAUUGCAGCAAUUGCAAAGCCCCGCUCCUGUUCACCCAGCCAUGAAAGAUGACUGGAUGCACUGAUUCUCUACUGAAAGCAAAAAGGAGCAGCAGCAGAUUGAAAUUGCAGCAAUACAAUCUGAAAAUGAUAAAUCCUUGAUGAAGUUUCUCUGAGAGUAUUGUUUCCCUGCCAUCAAAUCAACAGCCUGGUCUCUCCAAUAUGAAGAGGGAAUGAAAUCUGCUACUCUAAGUCCACUGGACAUGAAAAGCUAGAAGCAUACCAGCCCUUGACCUGCUGUCAGAGUAAACAAAGACCACCUUCAUCUGGCCUCCUCAAAUCUUGAGCUGUCCCAGCUAAGGCAUACGGAGCCUGUACUUCUCACUUCAUAAGAGUAAGAAAUGACAAUAAGCAAUGCCUUGCAACGUAGAAAACUAAGUAGUUAUUGUAAAUUUCUUUACACAGUCCCCAGCUUCGAACUAAGGAGGGAUGCCCAGCAUUGUACACAAGGAGCCUGGAUGUUCUGCUUU
Molecule: long non-coding RNA, 893 nt
Organism: Neopsephotus bourkii (Bourke's parrot)
Lineage: Eukaryota; Metazoa; Chordata; Aves; Psittaciformes; Psittacidae
Exons: 4
Source: RefSeq, a predicted model, not a curated record